This 638-nucleotide long non-coding RNA is filed under the name Pan troglodytes (chimpanzee). RNAcentral describes it as "long non-coding RNA NONPTRT017348". The record is from RNAcentral. Lineage: Eukaryota; Metazoa; Chordata; Mammalia; Primates; Hominidae.
UGCGGAGGGUUUGAAGCAGGCCCAGGAGCGAGCCCAUGGUCUUCCGACGCGGGGCCAGGGGCGGGCCCCAGGAUCCGGAGCUUCGGGCGGGGCCGAGUACGGGUUUGGGGUCCGGGAGGCGGGGCCAGUUAGGGCGAGAGUCCCUGGGAUCGUCGGGUCAGGCCUUGGGCUAACGUAGGCACUCUCGCAGUUCCUCCUUCAGGAAGGUCUUUUUAGCAGGGGCCUUACGGGUGUGCGCUUUGGUCCUGGAGGGCUUAUCCUAGCCUCCUCUCCAUCAGCGCCACCCGUCUGGGGCCCGAAAGGAGGGAGCUUUCCCUCUGUCCCCCAGCCUUUGGACUGUCACCAAACAAGCCAUUCGUUCACCAAAUACUUAUUAAGCGCCUACCAUGUGCCUGACAACGGAGAUGUAACGCUGUUGUUCCACACCAGAACCAAAUGAGCGCAAGAUCUGACAAAGAAAAAAAAAGUCCCUGUAUCCUGAGAUGGAGUCACCUGAGGAUCCACAGCAAGUCCUAACCAGGGAUGGGUCUGGGUGAUUAAGGAAGUUUGGCUUCAGAACUGGGCCAGGGGCACUGCUUUGCUUUUGCUGUUUUGAUCAGCUCUCUGCCUGCAGGAGACGGAAAAUCAAUGGGAACAGG